This 1277-nucleotide long non-coding RNA is filed under the name Marmota monax (woodchuck). Lineage: Eukaryota; Metazoa; Chordata; Mammalia; Rodentia; Sciuridae. The record is from RNAcentral.
CUUUUCUCUGUUGCAGCCAAUCUGCCUUCUGGUCCUAAGUAGAUCAUCAGGGGCACUCCAGGAUGCCACAUACCUUGGUUUGAAGGAGUCCUGGCCACAAUUCCAAAUCUCUGCCUCAGUCUUGUUAGCAUGACUGUCUGUGUGGAUGAGGACGUAUCUUAGGGUGCAGAGAUGACCAUCUCCAUGACAGCUGCCCCCCCCAAUAGCCUGAUAAGCAAUGUGAAGGCAGGUGACGUGGGAGAUUGGUGUUGAAAUUCCUGGAAAAAAGUAGAAUGUUUGCCAUCAGUCUCUCCUUGUGGCCUUGGUCACAUUAAAAAUAAGGAAGAGUUUGGAAAACUGAAGACAGAAGAGGGUUCACCCUCCCGUUAGCUGGGCCAUGUCAGGAGUGGUCAAGGCUGCUUUGCAGGGAAGUCAUCUCUGCCCUUUCUUGGGGCAGCCGCUCACACGGGGGGACUGGGGCUGCAUUCGUCUUGUGACCAAGUCGUGGGCAGGCUUGAUGAACACAAGGCUCCUCUGCUCAGAGGGAGUAGGAUCGGGGCCCUAGGAAUGCCAUCCCCCAUCUCUGGAUGUGUUGGGCAGUGCUUUCCCCUCUGAAAAGGCCACGCGCCUCCCCAAGUUUGUCGAGAACUUAGCAAGUGAGGCCCCCCUUGGAUUCACAGUGCCCCAUUCCCAUUCCACCUGAGCUCUGAGCUCAGAGUUCAGCUUAAACCUUGGGUUAGUGAACUUAGCAGCCACUGUCCUCAGUGCAGAUCACCCAGCCUCCUCCUGCCUGUGGCCCAUGCCAUGGGGCAGGAAUGGUCCAAGUUCAAUUCUGUAUGCACGGCCUAAGAGCUCCCAGCUGUGCGUGUGUGUGUGCGCGUGUGCAUGCGUGAGCAUGUGUGUGUACGGACGGGUACAUGUGUGAGUGUGCGUGCAUGCCUGUGUAGAGGGCAAGAGAUGGGGAUAACAAAUAGAACACAGUACCUCACCCUGGAGACCAUCCACCAGGUUCCUUUAAGAUGUCACUAAGGCUGAGGCCGCCAAUGAACUGACCCCAGAUUCCUGUCACACUGCUGGUGUCCCUGGAGGGCUUCAAGCCUGGAGGAAAGAGGGCACAGGCUUGGGGGCCAGUGGAGAUGUCACCCACACCUUCCCACUGUCGUGGGUCACCAGGGUGACCAACCCUCACCCCUGCAGGCCCUGGAAGGUCAGUUCUCAUGAAAGGUGUUAUCCAGAGAGCCAGGCCCAGCCAAGCGGACCUAAUUAGCUGUAUUUGUGGUCCUUGAGGUUUGGCAAUU